GAUGAACGCUGGCGGCGUGCCUAAUACAUGCAAGUCGAGCGAACAGAUAAGGAGCUUGCUCCUUUGACGUUAUCGGCGGACGGGUGAGUAACACGUGGUUAACCUACCUAUAAGACUGGAAUAACUCCGGGAAACCGGGGCUAAUGCCGGAUAACAUUUAGAACCGCAUGGUUCUAAAGUGAAAGAUGGUUUUGCUAUCACUUAUAGAUGGACCCGCGCCGUAUUAGCUAGUUGGUAAGGUAACGGCUUACCAAGGCAACGAUACGUAGCCGACCUGAGAGGGUGAUCGGACACACUGGAAGUGAGACACGGUCCAGACUCCUACGGGAGGCAGCAGUAGGGAAUCUUACGCAAUGGGCGAAAGCCUGACGGAGCAACGCCGCGUGAGUGAUGAAGGUCUUCGGAUCGUAAAACUCUGUUAUUAGGGAAGAACAAAUGUGUAAGUAACUGUGCACGUCUUGACGGUACCUAAUCAGAAAGCCACGGCUAACUACGUG
RNAcentral lists this ribosomal RNA (497 nucleotides) under uncultured bacterium. RNAcentral's name for it is "partial 16S ribosomal RNA". It matches the Rfam family "Bacterial small subunit ribosomal RNA", at positions 28 to 507 of the family's 1533-position model. The record is from RNAcentral.